This 753-nucleotide ribosomal RNA is filed under the name uncultured bacterium. RNAcentral describes it as "bacterial SSU rRNA". It matches the Rfam family "Bacterial small subunit ribosomal RNA", at positions 28 to 776 of the family's 1533-position model. The record is from RNAcentral.
GAUGAACGCUAGCGGCAGGCUUAACACAUGCAAGUCGAGGGGUAACGUGAGUGCUUGCACUUGACGACGACCGGCGAACGGGUGCGUAACGCGUAUAGAAUCUGCCUUGUACAGGAGGAUAGCCUUUAGAAAUGAAGAUUAAUACUCCAUAAUGUUAUUUAGUGGCAUCAUUAGGUAAUUAAAGAUUUAUUGGUACAAGAUGACUAUGCGUCCUAUUAGUUAGUUGGUAAGGUAACGGCUUACCAAGACUUCGAUAGGUAGGGGGUCUGAGAGGAUUAUCCCCCACACUGGUACUGAGACACGGACCAGACUCCUACGGGAGGCAGCAGUGAGGAAUAUUGGACAAUGGGCGAGAGCCUGAUCCAGCCAUGCCGCGUGCAGGAAGACUGCCCUAUGGGUUGUAAACUGCUUUUAUACAGGAAGAAACCUACUUACGUGUAAGUAGCUGACGGUACUGUAAGAAUAAGCACCGGCUAACUCCGUGCCAGCAGCCGCGGUAAUACGGAGGGUGCAAGCGUUAUCCGGAAUCAUUGGGUUUAAAGGGUCCGCAGGCGGUCAAUUAAGUCAGAGGUGAAAUCUCACAGCUUAACUGUGAAACUGCCUUUGAUACUGGUUGACUUGAGUCAUAUGGAAGUAGAUAGAAUAAGUAGUGUAGCGGUGAAAUGCAUAGAUAUUACUUAGAAUACCGAUUGCGAAGGCAGUCUACUACGUAUGUACUGACGCUCAUGGACGAAAGCGUGGGGAGCGAACAGG